Long non-coding RNA from Musa acuminata AAA Group (dessert banana), 338 nucleotides. RefSeq lists it as uncharacterized. The record is from RefSeq and is a predicted model, not a curated record. The transcript has 2 exons. NCBI's taxonomy places the organism in Eukaryota, Viridiplantae, Streptophyta, Magnoliopsida, Zingiberales, Musaceae.
AAGAAGAAGAAGAAGAAGAAGAAGAAGAAGAAGAAGAAGAAGAAGAAAUUGGGGUUUUUAGGGUUUUUGCUUUAAUCUUGUCACUUCGGGUCAAAAUUUGCAAAGGAUAGCGUAUCGCUUGCUUAAAUGUUAAGAUUGGGCUGAGGCAGUGGAAAGUUAGAAGAUUUUGGGCCGAUCCUUGUUAGCAUAUGUGUAUUUGUUGUAUAUGAUACUCUGCAUCUUAUGAAAUGUGACGAUGAAUCUAAACCUGUGGAUUUUGUGUAAGAUAAAGGAUCCCUUGUGUAUAGGAUUUUGGAAUGUUAAGUUAAAUUCAUGUAAUGAUAUGAUCUUAUGGUAAA